Molecule: non-coding RNA, 74 nt
Organism: Paramuricea clavata
Lineage: Eukaryota; Metazoa; Cnidaria; Anthozoa; Malacalcyonacea; Plexauridae
Source: the annotation of a GenBank genome assembly
ACUCUGGAGCUCAGUUGGUUAGAGCGCUGAACCAGAAUCGCAGGGCAUCCACAGGUUCGAUUCCUACUAGAUUA